This 742-nucleotide unclassified non-coding RNA is filed under the name Hevea brasiliensis (rubber tree). Lineage: Eukaryota; Viridiplantae; Streptophyta; Magnoliopsida; Malpighiales; Euphorbiaceae. The record is from RNAcentral.
GACUCUUCUCUCUGCUGUCACCGCCGCAGCCUUACUUAUACUCCUCGUAACACUUGUACGUAUCGAACCAGACACCGAUCAACCGACACCGGUAGUCACCUCUUCUGCUCCCCGCGGUGUCUCAGAAGGUGUUUCCGAUAAGUCGACAGCAUCGCUCCUCGGUUCCCCCCACACCAGCUUCCCAUGGAGCAACGCCAUGCUCAAGUGGCAGCGGACGGGGUUCCACUUCCAGCCGGAGAAGAAUUGGAUGAAUGAUCCUGACGGGCCCCUCUUCUACAAGGGAUGGUAUCACCUCUUCUACCAGUACAACCCAGACUCAGCAGUCUGGGGCAACAUAACGUGGGGGCACUCAGUCUCGCGCGACCUCAUUCACUGGCUCCACCUACCCCUCGCUUUCGUCCCCGAUCAUUGGUACGAUGCCAAUGGUGUUUGGACUGGCUCCGCCACCUUCCUCCCUGAUGGUCGCAUUGUCAUGGUCUACACCGGCUCCACCACUGAGGCGGUUCAGGUUCAGAAUCUCGCCUAUCCUGCCGAUUUGGAUGACCCCCUUCUUCUCAAUUGGCUCAAGUCGGAUGCUAAUCCAGUUCUUCUUCCACCACCAGGGAUUGGCGUGAAGGACUUUCGUGAUCCUACCACUGCCUGGUACGAUGCGGCUACCGAAGCAUGGAAGCUCGCCAUAGGCUCUAAGGACCAGAACCAUACCGGCAUUUGCCUUAUUUAUCGCACCAACGACUUCAUCGAC